GAUGAACGCUGGCGGCGUGCCUAAUACAUGCAAGUCGAGCGAACAGACGAGGAGCUUGCUCCUCUGACGUUAGCGGCGGACGGGUGAGUAACACGUGGAUAACCUACCUAUAAGACUGGGAUAACUUCGGGAAACCGGAGCUAAUAUCGGAUAACAUGUUGAACCGCAUGGUUCAACAGUGAAAGACGGUCUUGCUGUCACUUAUAGAUGGAUCCGCGCCGCAUUAGCUAGUUGGUAAGGUAACGGCUUACCAAGGCAACGAUGCGUAGCCGACCUGAGAGGGUGAUCGGCCACACUGGAACUGAGACACGGUCCAGACUCCUACGGGAGGCAGCAGUAGGGAAUCUUCCGCAAUGGGCGAAAGCCUGACGGAGCAACGCCGCGUGAGUGAUGAAGGUCUUCGGAUCGUAAAACUCUGUUAUUAGGGAAGAACAAAUGUGUAAGUAACUAUGCACGUCUUGACGGUACCUAAUCAGAAAGCCACGGCUAACUACGUG
This 497-nucleotide ribosomal RNA is filed under the name uncultured bacterium. Its description in RNAcentral is "partial 16S ribosomal RNA". It matches the Rfam family "Bacterial small subunit ribosomal RNA", at positions 28 to 507 of the family's 1533-position model. The record is from RNAcentral.